RNAcentral lists this ribosomal RNA (400 nucleotides) under uncultured bacterium. RNAcentral describes it as "bacterial SSU rRNA". It matches the Rfam family "Bacterial small subunit ribosomal RNA", at positions 357 to 774 of the family's 1533-position model. The record is from RNAcentral.
GGGAAUCUUGCACAAUGGGGGCAACCCUGAUGCAGCGACGCCGCGUGAGCGAUGAAGCCCUUCGGGGCGUAACGCUCUUUCGACCGGAACGAUAAUGACGGUACCGGGAGAAGAAGCUGCGGCUAACUACGUGCCAGCAGCCGCGGUAAUACGUAGGCAGCAAGCGUUGUUCGGAGUUACUGGGCGUAAAGAGUGCGUAGGCGGUUUUCUAAGUUCGGUGUGAAAUCUCCCGGCUUAACUGGGAGGGUGCGCCGAAGACUGGGAAGCUGGAGUGUGGGAAAGGCAGGCGGAAUUCCUGGUGUAGCGGUGAAAUGCGUAGAUAUCAGGAGGAACACCGGCGGUGUAGACGGCUUGCUAGACCAUAACUGACGCUGAGGCACGAAAGCGUGGGUAGCAAACA